GGAGUUAGCCGGUGCUUCUUCUGUGAGUGAUGUCCUUCCUGCCGGCUAUUAACCCGCAGGCCUUCUUCCUCACUGAAAGUGCUUUACAACCCGAAGGCCUUCUUCACACACGCGGCAUGGCUGGAUCAGGGUUGCCCCCAUUGUCCAAUAUUCCCCACUGCUGCCUCCCGUAGGAGUCUGGGCCGUGUCUCAGUCCCAGUGUGGCUGAUCAUCCUCUCAGACCAGCUACGGAUCGUCGCCUUGGUGAGCCGUUACCUCACCAACCAGCUAAUCCGACAUAGGCUCAUCCGAUAGCGCGAGGCCCGAAGGUCCCCCGNUUUCCCCCGUAGGGCGUAUGCGGUAUUAGCCUGGGGUUUUCCCCAGGUUAUCCCCCACUACCGGGCAGAUUCCUAUGCAUUACUCACCCGUCCGCCGCUCGCCACCAGGGAGCAAGCUCCCCGUGCUGCCGCUCGACUUGCAUGUGUAGCGUCGCCGCCACGCGUCAUACUGAGCACUGAUACAACUACUGA
Molecule: ribosomal RNA, 509 nt
Filed under: uncultured bacterium
Lineage: Bacteria
Description: partial 16S ribosomal RNA
Source: RNAcentral